UUGACCUCGGAUCAGGUAGGAGUUACCCGCUGAACUUAAGCAUAUCAAUAAGCGGAGGAAAAGAAACCAACCGGGAUUGCCUCAGUAACGGCGAGUGAAGCGGCAAGAGCUCAAAUUUGAAAUCUGGCCCCCUCGGGGUCCGAGUUGUAAUUUGCAGAGGAUGCUUCGGGUGCGGUCCCCAUCUAAGUGCCCUGGAACGGGCCGUCAUAGAGGGUGAGAAUCCCGUCUGGGAUGGGCGGCCGCGCCCGUGUGAAGCUCCUUCGACGAGUCGAGUUGUUUGGGAAUGCAGCUCUAAGCGGGUGGUAAAUUUCAUCUAAAGCUAAAUACUGGCCGGAGACCGAUAGCGCACAAGUAGAGUGAUCGAAAGAUGAAAAGCACUUUGAAAAGAGAGUUAAACAGCACGUGAAAUUGUUGAAAGGGAAGCGUUGUCCACCAGACUCGCCCGGGGGGGUUCAGCCGGCACGUGUGCCGGUGUACUCCUCUCCGGGCGGGCCAGCAUCGGUUUGGGCGGCUGGUGAAAGGCCCCGGGAAUGUACCACCCUACCGGGGUGUCUUAUAGCCCGGGGUGCCAUACAGCCAGCCUGGACCGAGGCCCGCGCUUCGGCGAGGAUGCUG
RNAcentral lists this ribosomal RNA (615 nucleotides) under Talaromyces funiculosus. RNAcentral describes it as "eukaryotic LSU rRNA". It matches the Rfam family "Eukaryotic large subunit ribosomal RNA", at positions 1 to 628 of the family's 3401-position model. Lineage: Eukaryota; Fungi; Ascomycota; Eurotiomycetes; Eurotiales; Trichocomaceae. The record is from RNAcentral.